Molecule: transfer RNA, 72 nt
Filed under: Heterocephalus glaber (naked mole-rat)
Lineage: Eukaryota; Metazoa; Chordata; Mammalia; Rodentia; Bathyergidae
Rfam family: tRNA
About the family: Transfer RNA (tRNA) molecules are approximately 80 nucleotides in length.
Source: Rfam by way of RNAcentral
AGAGAUGUAGUUCAGAUCUAGAGCAUUUGCCUAACAUGCAAGAGGGCCUGGGUACAAUCCCCAGUACCACAG